CGGGUGAGUAAUGCGUGACCAACCUGCCCCAUGCUCCAGAAUAGCUCUUGGAAACGGGUGGUAAUGCUGGAUGCUCCAACUUGACGCAUGUCUUGUUGGGAAAGUGUUUAGUGGCAUGGGAUGGGGUCGCGUCCUAUCAGCUUGUAGGCGGGGUAAUGGCCCACCUAGGCUUCGACGGGUAGCCGGCCUGAGAGGGCGGACGGCCACAUUGGGACUGAGAUACGGCCCAGACUCCUACAGGAGGCAGCAGCG
RNAcentral lists this ribosomal RNA (252 nucleotides) under uncultured Gardnerella sp. Its description in RNAcentral is "partial 16S ribosomal RNA". It matches the Rfam family "Bacterial small subunit ribosomal RNA", at positions 103 to 356 of the family's 1533-position model. The record is from RNAcentral. Lineage: Bacteria; Bacillati; Actinomycetota; Actinomycetes; Bifidobacteriales; Bifidobacteriaceae.